AGUCGAACGGUGAAGCAGAGCUUGCUCUGUGGAUCAGUGGCGAACGGGUGAGUAACACGUGAGCAAUCUGCCCCUCACUCUGGGAUAAGCGCUGGAAACGGCGUCUAAUACUGGAUACGAGCUGCGAAGGCAUCUUCAGCAGUUGGAAAGAUUUUUCGGUGGGGGAUGAGCUCGCGGCCUAUCAGCUUGUUGGUGAGGUAAUGGCUCACCAAGGCGUCGACGGGUAGCCGGCCUGAGAGGGUGACCGGCCACACUGGGACUGAGACACGGCCCAGACUCCUACGGGAGGCAGCAGUGGGGAAUAUUGCACAAUGGGCGCAAGCCUGAUGCAGCAACGCCGCGUGAGGGAUGACGGCCUUCGGGUUGUAAACCUCUUUUAGCAGGGAAGAAGCGAAAGUGACGGUACCUGCAGAAAAAGCGCCGGCUAACUACGUGCCAGCAGCCGCGGUAAUACGUAGGGCGCAAGCGUUAUCCGGAAUUAUUGGGCGUAAAGAGCUCGUAGGCGGUUUGUCGCGUCUGCUGUGAAAUCCCGAGGCUCAACCUCGGGUCUGCAGUGGGUACGGGCAGACUAGAGUGCGGUAGGGGAGAUUGGAAUUCCUGGUGUAGCGGUGGAAUGCGCAGAUAUCAGGAGGAACACCGAUGGCGAAGGCAGAUCUCUGGGCCGUAACUGACGCUGAGGAGCGAAAGGGUGGGGAGCAAACAGGCUUAGAUACCCUGGUAGUCCACCCCGUAAACGUUGGGAACUAGUUGUGGGGUCCAUUCCACGGAUUCCGUGACGCAGCUAACGCAUUAAGUUCCCCGCCUGGGGAGUACGGCCGCAAGGCUAAAACUCAAAGGAAUUGACGGGGACCCGCACAAGCGGCGGAGCAUGCGGAUUAAUUCGAUGCAACGCGAAGAACCUUACCAAGGCUUGACAUACACGAGAACGCUGCAGAAAUGUAGAACUCUUUGGACACUCGUGAACAGGUGGUGCAUGGUUGUCGUCAGCUCGUGUCGUGAGAUGUUGGGUUAAGUCCCGCAACGAGCGCAACCCUCGUUCUAUGUUGCCAGCACGUUAUGGUGGGAACUCAUGGGAUACUGCCGGGGUCAACUCGGAGGAAGGUGGGGAUGACGUCAAAUCAUCAUGCCCCUUAUGUCUUGGGCUUCACGCAUGCUACAAUGGCCGGUACAAAGGGCUGCGAUACCGUAAGGUGGAGCGAAUCCCAAAAAGCCGGUCCCAGUUCGGAUUGAGGUCUGCAACUCGACCUCAUGAAGUCGGAGUCGCUAGUAAUCGCAGAUCAGCAACGCUGCGGUGAAUACGUUCCCGGGUCUUGUACACACCGCCCGUCAAGUCAUGAAAGUCGGUAACACCUGAAGCCGGUGGCCCAACCCUUGUGGAG
RNAcentral lists this ribosomal RNA (1379 nucleotides) under uncultured Microbacterium sp. RNAcentral's name for it is "16S ribosomal RNA". It matches the Rfam family "Bacterial small subunit ribosomal RNA". The record is from RNAcentral. Lineage: Bacteria; Bacillati; Actinomycetota; Actinomycetes; Micrococcales; Microbacteriaceae.